CCAAUCCCGGGGCGCCCUGCGUGAGGCCCCGCCCCCGGCGCCGCGCUGCGCGCGCCGUGCCCAUGGGGGCGCCGGGAGCCAGUGCUGGGCCCCGUGAGGAGAAGGGUGGCGGAUCACUCACCCUCUGACAAGCUCACGUGAACGCACGUAUGGUCCGGUGCGUGUACAGCACACCCAGAGGCAAAUCAAGAAGUAAUUAUAGAACAAGCUUUCUAGCGCCUCACACACAGUCACACCUCCUCCAAGAUCUGUGAAAAUGGAAAGAACCAGUUACCCCCCGGAUACUGACGACACUGGGAGGCAGAAACCGGAAAGAGUCCGCACUUCGCCUGUGGUCCCAAGAAAUGGCAAGGUCUAAGUGAUCUAUCUGUGCUUUGAAGAACACAGAAAAGAAACAAGAGAAAGAUGGAGAAAAGAAAGGGGAGUUCUUUGAAUUCCAGACAUCUAACAAACAGCCCACCUCCACCCCACUCUGCCUUCAAAUGAUGACACUGCGAGUUACCGCUUGGAAAUUCAUAGAAUUAAUAAAAAGGAAGGGGAAGGAGAAUUUA
Long non-coding RNA from Hipposideros armiger (great roundleaf bat), 551 nucleotides. RefSeq lists it as uncharacterized. The transcript has 3 exons. The record is from RefSeq and is a predicted model, not a curated record. NCBI's taxonomy places the organism in Eukaryota, Metazoa, Chordata, Mammalia, Chiroptera, Hipposideridae.